UACGUAGGGUACAAGCGUUGUCCGGAAUUAUUGGGCGUAAAGAGCUCGUAGGCGGUCUGUCGCGUCUGCUGUGAAAACUCAGGGCUUAACCCGGAGCUUGCAGUGGGUACGGGCAGACUAGAGUGCGGUAGGGGAGACUGGAAUUCCUGGUGUAGCGGUGAAAUGCGCAGAUAUCAGGAGGAACACCGGUGGCGAAGGCGGGUCUCUGGACAGUUCCUGACGCUGAGGCACGAAGGUCAGGGGAGCAAACGGG
RNAcentral lists this ribosomal RNA (253 nucleotides) under uncultured bacterium. Its description in RNAcentral is "partial 16S ribosomal RNA". It matches the Rfam family "Bacterial small subunit ribosomal RNA", at positions 524 to 776 of the family's 1533-position model. The record is from RNAcentral.